This 99-nucleotide signal recognition particle RNA is filed under the name Ruminococcaceae bacterium OttesenSCG-928-N02. Its description in RNAcentral is "signal recognition particle sRNA small type". It matches the Rfam family "Bacterial small signal recognition particle RNA". From Rfam's summary of the family: The signal recognition particle (SRP) is a universally conserved ribonucleoprotein involved in the co-translational targeting of proteins to membranes. Archaeal SRP consists of a 7S RNA and homologues of the eukaryotic SRP19 and SRP54 proteins. The record is from RNAcentral. Lineage: Bacteria; Bacillati; Bacillota; Clostridia; Eubacteriales; Oscillospiraceae.
GCGCCGGCCCUGUGCGGCGGGACGCUGUGAACCAUGUCAGGCGGGGAACCGAGCAGCAUUAAGCGGCUGUUUCCGGGUGCCACAGUCAGCCGGCGUUUC